CCUACGGGUGGCAGCAGUGGGGAAUAUUGGUCAAUGGACGAGAGUCUGAACCAGCAAAGCAGCGUGAAGGAUGACUGCCCUCUGGGUUGUAAACUUCUUUUAUAAAGGAAUAAAACGAGGCACGUGUGCCUUUUUGCAUGUACUUUAUGAUUAAGGAUCGGCUAACUCCGUGCCAGCAGCCGCGGUAAUACGGAGGAUCCGAGCGUUAUCCGGAUUUACUGGGUUUAAAGGGAGCGUAGAUGGGUUGUUAAGUCAGUUGUGAAAGUUUGCGGCUCAACCGGAAAAUUGCAUUUGAUACUGGCAGUCUUGAGUGCAGUAGAGGUAGGCGGAAUUCGUAGUGUAGCGGUGAAAUGCUUAGAUAUUACGAAGAACUCCGGUUGCGAAGGCAGCUUACUAAACUGCAACUGACAUUGAGGCUCGAAAGUGUGGGUAGCAAACAGGAUUAGAUACCCUAGUAGUC
RNAcentral lists this ribosomal RNA (460 nucleotides) under uncultured bacterium. RNAcentral describes it as "partial 16S ribosomal RNA". It matches the Rfam family "Bacterial small subunit ribosomal RNA", at positions 338 to 795 of the family's 1533-position model. The record is from RNAcentral.